RNAcentral lists this ribosomal RNA (274 nucleotides) under uncultured bacterium. Its description in RNAcentral is "partial 16S ribosomal RNA". It matches the Rfam family "Archaeal small subunit ribosomal RNA", at positions 473 to 747 of the family's 1478-position model. The record is from RNAcentral.
AAACCAGCACCUCAAGUGGUCAGGAUGAUUAUUGGGCCUAAAGCAUCCGUAGCCGGCUCUGUAAGUUUUCGGUUAAAUCUGUACGCUCAACGUACAGGCUGCUGGGAAUACUGUAGAGCUAGGGAGUGGGAGAGGUAGACGGUGCUCGGGAGGAAGUGGUAAAAUGCUUUGAUCUCGCGAUGACCACCUGUGGCGAAGGCGGUCUACCAGAACACGUCCGACGGUGAGGGAUGAAAGCUGGGGGAGCAAACCGGAUUAGAAACCCGAGUAGUCC